UCUGAAUUCCUGUGUUUUCACAGAAGCAUAAAUAUUCCAGGUAGAAUCUUUCCCAUAAUAGAGUAGGUUAUUUUUAUUUAUUUAUUUUUUAAUUAGGGCGACAUCAGAUUAACUUUGCAGUUAAUUGCUAGCAUAUACUCGAUGUUGUGAAUGCUCGGGCUAUAAUUCCAUUACAUUGGAGGUGGAGGCUGGACGAUCAGGAGUUCAAUGUCAACAUAAAACUUUAUCUCAAGGAGAAACAGAAGAAGAGCAGAUCAGGUGAGGUGGUUCUCCUGGUAAGGUGAUUGCCACAAGGAGUGAUGAUUUGAGUUCAGUCCCUGAGUCCUGCAUGGUGGAAGGAGAGAACCAACUCCCAAAAUUAUCCUCUGACCACAUCAGCACAGACACACUGAAUAAAGAAAAGGUUGUUUUUUUUUUUUUUUUUUAACAUACUUGAAGCUAUUAUUUUCCCAGGAGCUUAGCUGCUCUAUUAUUUUUUUUAAGGUUUUACUAAAGGUGAUGAGACCCGAACAGCCAGCACACAGAGAAAAACCAUCCACAAAGCAAAGGGGGGAUUUUUGAAGCCAAAGCCUCUGGUACCAUUUUUAAAGAUUUGUUUGUUUGUUUAUUCAUUUCUUAUCGGGAAGGGGCAUUGAGUCAGGGUCUCUCCGUGUAGUCCUGACUGCCUUGGAACUCUGCAGACCAAUUCUGCUGGCCUCAAAUUCACAGAGACCCUCCUGCCUCUGCCUCCUUAUUUUUUAUGUGUAUGAAUGUUUUGCCUCACUAUGUGUCUGUGUACAUCGGUGCUUGAUUUAGAGUCCUGAAAAGGGCAUUGAGUCCCCCUAGAACUGGGUUGUAAGUCAUUGUGUGGAUGGUGGGGACAGAAGCUAGGCCCUCUGCAAGAGCAACAAGUUCUUUUAACCACUGACCCAUCUCCUGUUCCUGAUACUGUUUUCAGAAGCCUGCAUAAAAGUGAUCAGCAUUUUUUUAUACCAAGUUAUGAGCAAAAGCAUACCUUUAUCACCAUCUUGUUGAUUUUAAUUUGGGAGGUGGCCGUCUUUUUUAGUUAGGGUCUCACUGUGUACCUAAGACUCUGUUGCCUUGGUUUCUUGAAUGCUGAGAUUAUAGGUAUGCACCACAAUUGAUAGUUCAACUAGUGAUAAUGGAUUGCUGAAUUAGCAUUCUUACCUAUAUUUACAAAAUACUUGAAUUCUUUCUUUUUAAAUUAUGUGUGUUUGUCUGUCUGUAUGUGUGAAUGUAGGUACCGUUAGAGAUCAGAGAAGUCAGAUCCCCUGGAGAUGGGAGUUUGGGGCAUUGUGAGCUCCUUGAUAUGAGUGCUGAGAACUUAACGUGGUUCCUCUGAAAGAGCAGAUGUACUCUUAUCACUGAGCCACCUCUUCAGCUCCCUAUGGUGUUCUUUUCUGAGACAGGGUCACUAGCCCACGCUGGCCUCAAACUCUAUAUAGCCAAGGAUGCUCUGAGAAUUCUGAUGCUCUGAGUGCUGCAAUUGCAGGCAUAGGCCACUACACCAAGUCUAUGUGGUGCUAGGUAUCCAGCCCACAGUAUGGCCUAUGCUAGGCAAGCACACUACCAACUGAGUUACAUCCCAGCCCAACAUCCAGUUUGUGUUCUGCACUGUGAAACAACAGGUGUGCUAGAAUUAGAAUCAUCUUGAAAUAUUCACAUAUGGACUUAAUUUUAAACUUACACUGCUUGUUGAACCUUAAAGGGACUUUAGAAUCUGCAUGGGUUCAGUUGCUAAAACAGAUGUAGAACUAGGGUCACAGAUGGCACCUAGCUCUCUUCAUGUGGGUUUUCCACAGUACCUUUCAUAAGCCUCCUGCACACUCUGUUAGUCUGCCACCACCGCUGCCAUGCCACCUCCUUCUCAUCUUCCUCCUUUUUUCUUCCUCUUCCUCUUCUUCUUCCUCCUCCCUUCUUCUUCUCCCCUUUUUCUUCUCUUCCUCCUCUUCUUCUCCUUCUUAUUCAUCUUUUUUUUUUUUUUUUUCAGUUUUUUGAGACUGGGUUUCUCUGUGUAGCUCUGGAACUCACUUUGUAGACCAGGCUGGCCUCAAACUCAGAAAUCCGCCUGCCUCUGCCUCCCAAGUACUGGGAUUAAAGGCAUGUGCCACCACGCCCGGCCUUCUUGUUCAUCUUAUUCUUAUUUGAGACAGGGUUUCUCUGUGUAGUCCUGGCUGUCCUGGAACUCACUAGUCCUUUUUUUAAAAGUGGUAUCUCAUGUAGCCUACAGUACCUUGAACUGACUAUGCAGCUCAAGACUACUUCCUGCCUCCACCUCAGAAGUACCGGGAUUAUAGGCACUCACCACCAUACCCAGCUAUUUAUUUUUAUCCUUUGAGAUGGGUUUUACAACAAAGCCCAGGCUGCCCUUGAAUGCCUGGGCUUAAGUGAUCCUCUUGCCUGAGUUUCCAAGUAGCUGGGGUUGCAGGCUUCAGUCUUUCCUCCAUCCCACCCAGUGCAGGAGAUCAAACCCAUAGCCUCAUACAUACAAGGCAAAAUAUCUUACCCUAACUUAAAUAGCCAGUCUCUUCCC
RNAcentral lists this long non-coding RNA (2533 nucleotides) under Mus musculus (house mouse). RNAcentral's name for it is "long non-coding RNA chr4:132276526-132279059". The record is from RNAcentral. Lineage: Eukaryota; Metazoa; Chordata; Mammalia; Rodentia; Muridae.